UGAGUAAUGUAUCGGAACGUGCCUUCUUCGGGGGAUAACUACCCCAAAGCGUAUCUGAUACCGCACACGCCCUACGGGGGAAAGCAGGGCAAUCGCACGACCUUGCACUAUUAGAUCGGCCAUAUAUCGUGAUUACCUAGUUGGUGGGGUAACAGCUCACCAAUGCCACGAUCCAUAACUGGUUUGGGAGGACAACCAGCCACACUGGGCACUGAGCACACGGCCCACACUCCUACGGGAGGCAGCAGUGGGGAAUUUUGGACAAUGGGGGAAACCCUGAUCCAGCCAUCCCGCGUGUGCGAUGAAGGCCUUCGGGUUGUAAAGCACUUUUGGCAGGAAAGAAACGUCAUGGGCUAAUACCCCGUGAAACUGACGGUACCUGCAGAAUAAGCACCGGCUAACUACGUGCCAGCAGCCGC
RNAcentral lists this ribosomal RNA (419 nucleotides) under uncultured Achromobacter sp. RNAcentral describes it as "bacterial SSU rRNA". It matches the Rfam family "Bacterial small subunit ribosomal RNA", at positions 107 to 518 of the family's 1533-position model. Lineage: Bacteria; Pseudomonadati; Pseudomonadota; Betaproteobacteria; Burkholderiales; Alcaligenaceae. The record is from RNAcentral.